This 942-nucleotide small RNA is filed under the name Pongo abelii (Sumatran orangutan). RNAcentral's name for it is "retained intron". The record is from RNAcentral. Lineage: Eukaryota; Metazoa; Chordata; Mammalia; Primates; Hominidae.
CCCAUGGUGAUGGGGUAUCCAACAUGUGUCACUCCCUUGAUGCCUAGCCUUGCCCCUCCUUGAACCUGUCUGGCUGAGCUGGGCUUGGGGCUGGGGUCUGGCUGUCACUCACAGGUACCGGGGCAGCUACUGGAGGACUGUGCGGGCCUGCCUGGGCUGCCCCCUCCGCCGUGGGGCCCUGUUGCUGCUAUCCAGCUAUUUCUACUACUCCCUCCCAAAUGCGGUCAGCGUGCCCUUCACUUGGAUGCUUGCCCUCCUGGGCCUCUCGCAGGCACUGAACAUCCUCCUGGGCCUCAAGGGACUGGCCCCAGCUGAGAUCUCUGCAGUCUGUGAAAAAGGGAAUUUCAACGUGGCCCAUGGGCUGGCAUGGUCAUAUUACAUCGGAUAUCUGCGGCUGAUCCUGCCAGGGAUCCAGGCCCGGAUUCGAACUUACAAUCAGCAUUACAACAACCUGCUAUGGGGUGCAGUGAGCCAGCGGCUGUAUAUUCUCCUCCCAUUGGACUGUGGGGUGCCUGAUAACCUGAGUAUGGCUGAUCCCAACAUUCGCUUCCUGGAUAAACUGCCCCAGCAGACCGCUGACCGUGCUGGCAUCAAGGAUCGGGUUUACAGCAACAGCAUCUAUGAACUUCUGGAGAACGGGCAGCGGGCAGGCACCUGUGUCCUGGAGUACGCCACCCCCUUGCAGACUUUGUUUGCCAUGUCACAAUACGGUCAAGCUGGCUUUAGCCGGGAGGAUAGGCUUGAGCAGGCCAAACUCUUCUGCCGGACACUUGAGGACAUCCUGGCAGAUGCCCCUGAGUGUCGGAACAACUGCCGCCUCAUUGCCUACCAGAACCUGCAGAUGACAGCAGCUUCUCGCUGUCCCAGGAGGUUCUCCGGCACCUGCGGCAGGAGGAAAAGGAAGAGGUUACUGUGGGCAGCUUGAAGACCUCAGCGGUGCCC